RNAcentral lists this long non-coding RNA (1386 nucleotides) under Dicentrarchus labrax (European seabass). RNAcentral's name for it is "lncRNA (ENSDLAG00005032535.1)". Lineage: Eukaryota; Metazoa; Chordata; Actinopteri; Moronidae. The record is from RNAcentral.
AUGGCAAUAUAUGCAUGGCGAUAUAUACAUGGCAAUAUAUGCAUGGCGAUAUAUACAUGGCAAUAUAUACAUGGCAAUAUAUACAUGGCGUUAUAUACAUGGUGUUAUAUGCAUGGCGAUAUAUACAUGGCAAUAUAUACAUGGCAAUAUAUACAUGGCGUUAUAUACAUGGUGUUAUAUACAUGGCGAUAUAUACAGAGCAAUAUAUACAUGGCGAUAUAUACAUGGCAAUAUAUACAUGGCGAUAUAUACAUGGCAAUAUAUGCAUGGCAAUAUAUACAUGGCAAUAUAUGCAUGGCGAUAUAUACAUGGCAAUAUAUACAGAGCAAUAUAUACAUGGCGAUAUAUACAUGCCGAUAUAUACAUAGCGAUAUAUGCAUGGCGAUAUAUAAAUGGCAAUAUAUACAUAGCAAUAUAUACAUGGCGAUAUAUGCAAGGCAAUAUAUACAUGGCAAUAUAUACAGAGCAAUAUAUACAUGGCGAUAUAUACAUGGCGAUAUAUACAUGGCAAUAUAUACAUGGCGAUAUAUACAUGGCAAUAUAUACAGAGCAAUAUAUAAAUGGCAAUAUAUACAUGGCGAUAUAUACAUGGCGAUAUAUACAGAGCAAUAUAUACAUGGCAAUAUAUACAGAGCAAUAUAUACAUGGCGAUAUAUACAUGGCGAUAUAUACAUGGCGUUACAUACAUGGCAAUAUAUACAGAGCAAUAUAUACAUGGCGAUAUAUACAUGGCAAUAUAUACAUGGCGAUAUAUACAUGGCAAUAUAUACAUGGCAAUAUAUACAGAGCAAUAUAUGCAUGGCGAUAUAUACAUGGCAAUAUAUACAUGGCAAUAUAUACAUGGCGUUAUAUACAUGGUGUUAUAUACAUGGCGAUAUAUACAGAGCAAUAUAUACAUGGCGAUAUAUACAUGGCAAUAUAUACAUGGCGAUAUAUACAUGGCAAUAUAUGCAUGGCAAUAUAUACAUAGCAAUAUAUACAGAGCAAUAUAUAAAUGGCAAUAUAUACAUGGCCAUAUAUACAUGGCGAUAUAUACAUGGCAAUAUAUACAGAGCAAUAUAUACAUGGCGAUAUAUACAUGCCGAUAUAUACAUGGAGAUAUAUGCAUGGCGAUAUAUAAAUGGCAAUAUAUACAUAGCAAUAUAUACAUGGCGAUAUAUGCAAGGCAAUAUAUACAUGGCAAUAUAUACAGAGCAAUAUAUACAUGGCGAUAUAUACAUGGCAAUAUAUACAUGGCGAUAUAUACAUGGCAAUAUAUACAGAGCAAUAUAUAAAUGGCAAUAUAUACAUGGCGAUAUAUACAUGGCGAUAUAUACAGAGCAAUAUAUACAUGGCAAUAUAUACAGAGCAAUAUAUACAUGGCGAUAUAUACAUGGCGUUACAUAG